RNAcentral lists this ribosomal RNA (880 nucleotides) under uncultured Bacillota bacterium. Its description in RNAcentral is "bacterial SSU rRNA". It matches the Rfam family "Bacterial small subunit ribosomal RNA", at positions 1 to 902 of the family's 1533-position model. The record is from RNAcentral. Lineage: Bacteria; Bacillati; Bacillota.
GGAUCCAGACUUUGAUCAUGGCUCAUGACGAACGCUGGCGGCGUGCUUUAUACAUGCAAGUCGAACGAGAAUCUGACUUCGGCCAGAGGAAAGUGGCGGACGGGUGAGUAAAAUGUAGAGAAUCUGCCCUUGAGUGGGGGACAACAGUUGGAAACGAUUGCUAAUACCCCAUAUGAGAUAAGCUGAAAUGUUUAUCUUGAAAACUCCGGUGCUCAAGGAUGAGUCUGCAUCUGAUUAGCUAGUUGGUGGUGUAAUGGACUACCAAGGCGAUGAUCAGUAGCUGGUUUGAGAGGAUGAUCAGCCACAAUGGGACUGAGACACGGCCCAUACUCCUACGGGAGGCAGCAGUAGGGAAUUUUGCGCAAUGGGGGAAACCCUGACGCAGCAACGCCGCGUGAUUGAUGAAGCCCUUCGGGGUGUAAAGAUCUGUCAGUAGGGACGAAUAAUGACUGUACCUACAGAGGAAGCACCGGCUAACUCCGUGCCAGCAGCCGCGGUAAUACGGGGGGUGCGAGCGUUGUCCGGAAUCAUUGGGCGUAAAGAGUUCGUAGGUGGUAUGUUAAGUCUGGUGUUAAAUUCCGAAGCUCAACUUCGGUACGGCACUGGAUACUGGCAAACUUGAAUGCGGUAGAGGUAAAGGGAAUUCCUGGUGUAGCGGUGAAAUGCGUAGAUAUCAGGAGGAACAUCGGUGGCGUAAGCGCUUUACUGGGCCGUAAUUGACACUGAGGAACGAAAGCCGGGGUAGCAAAUGGGAUUAGAUACCCCAGUAGUCCCGGCCGUAAACGAUGGAUACUAGGUGUUGCGGGUAUCGACCCCUGCAGUGCCGUAGCAAACGCGAUAAGUAUCCCGCCUGGGGAGUACGCACGCAAGUGUGCAACUA